This 403-nucleotide ribosomal RNA is filed under the name uncultured bacterium. Its description in RNAcentral is "partial 16S ribosomal RNA". It matches the Rfam family "Bacterial small subunit ribosomal RNA", at positions 355 to 776 of the family's 1533-position model. The record is from RNAcentral.
UCGGGAAUAUUGCGCAAUGGACGAAAGUCUGACGCAGCAACGCCGCGUGAAGGAUUAAGGCCCUCGGGUCGUAAACUUCAAUAGUUUAGGAUGAAAUCUUGACAGUACUAAACGAAAGCACCGGCUAACUACGUGCCAGCAGCCGCGGUAAUACGUAGGGUGCAAGCGUUAUCCGGAUUUAUUGGGCGUAAAGAGCGCGUAGGUUGUAUUUUAAGUCUUUGUUAAAAGGCUGCCGCCCAACGGCAGUUUCGACAAAGAAACUAUUUUACUAGAAAAAAUCAGAGGCAAGCGGAACUCGCGGUGGAGGAGUAAAAUCCGUUGAUCUCGCGAGGAACACCAAUGGCGAAGGCAGCUUGCUGGGAUUUUUUGACACUGAGGCGCGAAAGCGUGGGUAGCGAACGGG